RNAcentral lists this ribosomal RNA (255 nucleotides) under uncultured bacterium. RNAcentral describes it as "partial 16S ribosomal RNA". It matches the Rfam family "Bacterial small subunit ribosomal RNA", at positions 524 to 776 of the family's 1533-position model. The record is from RNAcentral.
UACGUAGGGCGCAAGCGUUGUCCGGAAUUAUUGGGCGUAAAGAGCUCGUAGGCGGUUUGUCGCGUCUGCUGUGAAAACCUAAGGCUCAACCUUGGGCUUGCAGUGGGUACGGGCAGACUAGAGUGCGGUAGGGGUGACUGGAAUUCCUGGUGUAGCGGUGAAAUGCGCAGAUAUCAGGAGGAACACCGGUGGCGAAGGCGGGUCUCUGGGCCGAUACUGACGCUGGAGGAGCGAAAAGCGUGGGGAGCGAACAGG